GCGGUGGAGCAUGUGUUUAAUUCGACGCAACGCGAAGAACCUUACCAGCUCUUGACAUGUCAGGUCGGUUUCCAGAGAUGGAUUCCUCCCAGCAAUGGGCCUGAACACAGGUGCUGCAUGGCUGUCGUCAGCUCGUGUCGUGAGAUGUUGGGUUAAGUCCCGCAACGAGCGCAACCCUCGCCAUUAGUUGCCAUCAUUAAGUUGGGCACUCUAGUGGGACUGCCGGUGAUAAGCCAGAGGAAGGUGGGGAUGGCGUCAAGUCAUCAUGGCCCUUACGGGCUGGGCUACACACCUGCUACAAUGGCGGUGACAGUGGGCAGCAACUCAGCAAUGGGGAGCUAAUCUCAAAAAGCCGUCUCAGUUCGGAUUGGGGUCUGCAACUCGACCCCAUGAAGUCGGAAUCGCUAGUAAUCGCCGGUAUCCAGCCACGCCGCGGUAGUAAAUACGUUCCCGGGCCGUU
This 460-nucleotide ribosomal RNA is filed under the name uncultured Hyphomicrobiaceae bacterium. RNAcentral describes it as "bacterial SSU rRNA". It matches the Rfam family "Bacterial small subunit ribosomal RNA", at positions 929 to 1382 of the family's 1533-position model. The record is from RNAcentral. Lineage: Bacteria; Pseudomonadati; Pseudomonadota; Alphaproteobacteria; Hyphomicrobiales; Hyphomicrobiaceae.